Molecule: long non-coding RNA, 2470 nt
Filed under: Equus asinus (donkey)
Lineage: Eukaryota; Metazoa; Chordata; Mammalia; Perissodactyla; Equidae
Description: lncRNA (ENSEASG00005032909.1)
Source: RNAcentral
CCUCAUUAAAAUGCAGAUUCUGAUUCAUUCAGUAAAUCUAGGGUGGAGCUGGUCAUUCAGAAUUUCUAACAAACUUCUGAAUGAUAUUGAUGCUACUGGUCUGUGGACUAUACUUUGAGUGGCACUGCUCUAGAGGUAUUUCUAAAGUGGUCAAAUUUGACAUCAAAUACAGCCUCUGCUCACAGAAUGGUGCUGACUUCAUUAUUCUCACUUGACUGAUGAGGACUAUGUUACUUAGAGAAGUGCAGCUAUUUGCAUUCGGCAACCAAGAAUGAAUGUAGAUGCCAUUAACCAAGGGAUGCCUAAGAAAUGUGGAUACCCUUAUCCUACCCGAUCUAUAAUAUUUUAACCUGGAAAUUAGCUUUCCUAGUGCUGACACUGGCCUUGCUUACAACUUUGGCUGAAACCAAAUCAGUAGUGAUAUUGAUUAUAGCCUGUUAAACAAGUAUGGAACAUUAGAGAAAUGCAAAUUGCUCUUAACCUUCCUCUCUUCUUCCUGUUCCACCUCCUUCAUUUCCUUCCUCCUCUCACGUUAUUAUGUGCUGUUUGGAGAGUCUCCAAAUCUUCAUUUGGACCCGCAGGACAAUGGGAAAGAAUAUAUCAAGCAGAAAAUGGAAUCCUUUUUACAUUCUUGUAACAUUAACAUACAAAAAAUAUGCUUAAGAUUUCAGGUAAUACAGAUGCAACAAACAGGCUUUCACAUCGUCCCAGAAUGAUGACUGAAUACUGCAUUCUUGGUUCAGAGCAAAGCCAACAGGUGGUUCAGCUAUCUUUCUUCAUGCUUAAGAUAGAAACAAAUUCAGAAACCAGCUCUACUCCAACCAUCCUCCCUCCACACAGUCAACACAAGAAGACAGACUAUCCCCCCACCCACAUUUCUGUGGAGGACAUGCUGUCUUUUCCCAAGGCCAAGUGGAGGUCCCAAAAGAAUUUCUGUUUAAAAAAAACACAAAGUGGGGAAACCUAUAAAAAGGGUGACUGUCAUUUUUAUUCCAUUUUGAAUGUCUGCUUUACCAGAGAAUUGACGACAAUCAGAUGGGAGGAGUGAGCAUUUUACCAGUAAACCAUGUUGGAGUCACCAUCUGUCUACAACAGCUACCUGGAGUGCAUAUACAAUGAGGGAGAAUGGCAGUUACCACCAACUUCAGGCAGAACUGUGGCUGGCCCAGUCAGGAAGAUAUGUUUUGUUCUUUUCCUGCUACCUCAGCCUCACCCUGACAGGGAAGAGAGCAGCAGUGGGUAGAGGAAGGGGAGAGGAGAGAAGUGAAAGUCAGACCAUGCAACACACCCUUCCAUUACAGAUUAGCCCUGAGCUAACGGCUGCCAAUCCUCCUCUUUUUGCUGAGGAAGACUGACCCUGAGCUAACAUCCAUGCCCAUCUUCCUCUAUUUUAUACGUGGAAGCCUACCACAGCGUGACUUUUGCCAAGUGGUGCCAUGUCCACACCCGGUAUCUGAACCAGUGAACCCCGGGCCGCCGAGAAGCAGAAGCAUGGCUUGAUGAGUGUUAUGUAGGUCUGCGCCCAGGAUCUGAACCUGUGAACCCUGGGCCACCAAAGUGGAGUGCACAAACUUAACCACUACCCCACCAGGCUUUGGGAAAGCCCUAGGAAUUGCCUGAUGAAGUCGCCUAGCGAUUGCCGGAGCCUGAUCAUGCAACAGGGGAAGACAUGCUCGUAAAGUGCCCAAGUUCUCCUACCAGAGGAAGUCCCGUCCUGCUGCAGCACUUCCUAGAACUGAGUGUGGAUCCAACCCUCCCUCACAGCCAUGGGACCCUGAGAACACUGACGUCAUCUCUCCUUCAACCAUAUUACCAUGGGUGAGGUAAGGUGAGGCCAGAUGCGGAUCUAGAGAAACCAGAAAGAAUUUUACAGUUUUGGUAGACUCAUAGUUCCCUCGGGAGGACACAGCCCGCCACACAGGGACAGUCAGGGCAAGUACCAGGGUCUACAGGAGGCAGAGACAGGGAGCAGAGCUGUGGUUAAGUGCCUUUAUUGUGGUUUCCAUGGGAAGGAAUGAGAAAGGCAGGGUAGGUUGUUUUUGGAUUGGCCUACAUUUGAAAGUGGCGUCCCCAUGAAAUUCAUGUUCACUGUGACUGUUAGAGUAUAUGGUUUGGGGCUAUCUAAAGUUUCCAGAUGUUUUUGAGUGAGCCAGAGUUUAUUUGGGAACAGCUAGUAGCCAUUUUGUAGAUGUUAAGGCAUUGAUUUACAGACGUUAAAAGAAUGGUUAAUACAAUCCCCACUUCAAGUAUAAGUCUGAUGAGUCUAAGCCGUGUAGGUGUCUUCCUGGUGAUGCAUGACGCAAUUUUUCCCAAUCCUACUUGGCUGAGAAGGACUUGGAGAGCAUGACCUGGCCAUCUAAGGCUAUGACAGGAAUGCAGACUUCACACUGCAUGCCAGCAUGGAAUGAGACCCAGAUGAGGCAGAUUACAUCUCAGCAGAGGCCAAUGUAGGCAGAGAAUUUUCAUGGAC